Molecule: transfer RNA, 71 nt
Filed under: Spinacia oleracea (spinach)
Lineage: Eukaryota; Viridiplantae; Streptophyta; Magnoliopsida; Caryophyllales; Amaranthaceae
Rfam family: tRNA
About the family: Transfer RNA (tRNA) molecules are approximately 80 nucleotides in length. Their secondary structure includes four short double-helical elements and three loops (D, anti-codon, and T loops). Further hydrogen bonds mediate the characteristic L-shaped molecular structure. tRNAs have two regions of fundamental functional importance: the anti-codon, which is responsible for specific mRNA codon recognition, and the 3' end, to which the tRNAs corresponding amino acid is attached (by aminoacyl-tRNA synthetases). tRNAs cope with the degeneracy of the genetic code in two manners: having more than one tRNA (with a specific anti-codon) for a particular amino acid; and 'wobble' base-pairing, i.e. permitting non-standard base-pairing at the 3rd anti-codon position.
Source: Rfam by way of RNAcentral
AACCUAUUAGCUCAAAUGGUAGGGCAAUGUGCAAUUGCACAUGGAUGUAGGUUCAAAUCCUACAUAGGUCA